This 406-nucleotide ribosomal RNA is filed under the name uncultured bacterium. Its description in RNAcentral is "partial 16S ribosomal RNA". It matches the Rfam family "Bacterial small subunit ribosomal RNA", at positions 30 to 526 of the family's 1533-position model. The record is from RNAcentral.
AUUGAACGCUGGCGGCAGGCCUAACACAUGCAAGUCGAGCGAGCGGCGGACGGGUGAGUCAUGUCUGGGAAACUGCCUGAUGGGGGGGGAUAACUACUGGAAACGGUAGCUCAUCACGCAUACCAUCAACUGUGCCCAGAGGGGAUUAGCUAGUAGGUGGGGUAACGGCUCACCUAGGCGACGAUCCCUCGCUGGUCUGAGAGGAUGACCAGCCACACUGGAACUGAGACACGGUCCAGACUCCUACGGGAGGCAGCAGUGGGGAAUAUUGCACAAUGGGCGCAAGCCUGAUGCAGCCAUGCCGCGUGUGUGAAGAAGGCCUUCGGGUUGUAAAGCACUUUCAGCGGGGAGGCGUUACCCGCAGAAGAAGCACCGGCUAACUCCGUGCCAGCAGCCGCGGUAAUUC